UUUGACCCGCGUUAGGGAUUGCAGCGGCAUCCUUUUUAAUACUUAACUUAACCAAAGAAGUUUUUAAACUAGACAGUAGCAGUUUGCCACGUCACUAACUCCUCGCAAUGACAUAUUAAAAAGGUACAGCGCAAAGCCCAACCCCUU
Molecule: small RNA, 147 nt
Filed under: Paracellulophaga tyrosinoxydans
Lineage: Bacteria; Pseudomonadati; Bacteroidota; Flavobacteriia; Flavobacteriales; Flavobacteriaceae
Description: Cellulophaga tyrosinoxydans Flavo-1 RNA
Source: RNAcentral